Molecule: ribosomal RNA, 253 nt
Filed under: uncultured bacterium
Lineage: Bacteria
Description: partial 16S ribosomal RNA
Rfam family: Bacterial small subunit ribosomal RNA
Source: RNAcentral
UACGUAGGGUGCAAGCGUUAAUCGGAAUUACUGGGCGGAAAGCGUGCGCAGGCGGUUAUGCAAGACAGAUGUGAAAUCCCCGGGCUUAACCUGGGAACUGCAUUUGUGACUGCAUAGCUAGAGUACGGUAGAGGGGGAUGGAAUUCCGCGUGUAGCAGUGAAAUGCGUAGAUAUGCGGAGGAACACCGAUGGCGAAGGCAGUCCCCUGGACCUGUACUGACGCUCAUGCACGAAAGCGUGGGGAGCAAACAGG